CUUGGUCAUUUAGAGGAAGUAAAAGUCGUAACAAGGUCUCCGUUGGUGAACCAGCGGAGGGAUCAUUACCGAGUUUACAACUCCCAAACCCCUGUGAACAUACCUUUAUGUUGCCUCGGCGGAUCAGCCCGCGCCCCGUAAAACGGGACGGCCCGCCGCAGGAACCACAAAACUCUGAUUUUAGUGUAACUUCUGAGUCUAAAAAACAAAUAAAUCAAAACUUUCAACAACGGAUCUCUUGGUUCUGGCAUCGAUGAAGAACGCAGCAAAAUGCGAUAAGUAAUGUGAAUUGCAGAAUUCAGUGAAUCAUCGAAUCUUUGAACGCACAUUGCGCCCGCCAGUAUUCUGGCGGGCAUGCCUGUUCGAGCGUCAUUUCAACCCUCAAGCCCCCGGGUUUGGUGUUGGGGAUCGGGCUGUACUCCAGCCCGGCCCCGAAAUCUAGUGGCGGUCUCGCUGCAGCCUCCAUUGCGUAGUAGCUAACACCUCGCAACUGGAACGCGGCGCGGCCAAGCCGUUAAACCCCCAACUUCUGAAUGUUGACCUCGGAUCAGGUAGGAAUACCCGCUGAACUUAAGCAUAUCAAUAAGCGGAGGA
Molecule: unclassified non-coding RNA, 594 nt
Filed under: uncultured fungus
Lineage: Eukaryota; Fungi
Description: sequence contains ITS1, 5.8S rRNA gene and ITS2
Rfam family: 5.8S ribosomal RNA (bases 219-372)
Source: RNAcentral